Long non-coding RNA from Ananas comosus (pineapple), 1149 nucleotides. RefSeq lists it as uncharacterized. Lineage: Eukaryota; Viridiplantae; Streptophyta; Magnoliopsida; Poales; Bromeliaceae. The transcript is spliced from 4 exons. The record is from RefSeq and is a predicted model, not a curated record.
AAGAUGCAGUAGUUUUUGUAGUAGUAAGAAUCAGUAGCAUUCAAUUUUUUUCUAGGAUAAGAAAAGGAGUGUAAUUUACAGAGGAAAGGAAUCAAAGAUGAAAUUAUGAUGUUUGUGUAUCAAAGUAUAGUAGAAUUAAUGGUGAGAUUUAAUUUUCAUCAACUGUAAGGUUUUUGGAUGUAUUCAUCUCAUUUUCGUCCUCUUUAUGUUGAUCUAGUUCAAUCCUGUGAUGUAAAUUUUGAUGUAUUGUUGCGAGAUUAAUGUUCGAGUUUAAUAAAAAUUUGAGAAAAUUGUGUUUGAUCGUCUUGCUUAUUGUAGAUUUGAAUAGGCGUGGAUUUGUAUGGAUCUGGGAACGGAUCCUUCUUGUUAACGAAAUGCAUUUUGAAUCUUAUCUCUUGUUGCUACAGAUUAGGAAUGAUGUUAUAGUAACUUCUACUAGGGUUCUAAAUCAUAGGUGUAAACACUAAUUUAUAUUGUAUAGGAGACGAGAGUAGGUAGAUACAGAAAACGUUUGGGGAGAGAUUACUACAGAGAAGUAUAAAAUUGUUGAUGUGGUCUUAUCUCAUUUCAUUUGUGAUAAAAUUGCUUUGAGGGAUUUGGGAGGAACCCUCUUAUAGUAUAUUCCGAGCUCGAGCUCAAGCUCGAGCUCCUUCACCUCUACUCAUCCCCUCCUUCCUCAUCCUCCGCAUCCUCUCCAAGCUCCGAUUCUCGACCCGGCGAUCCCCAUAUCUCCCUUGCUAUCACCCAUGACCUACUCGACCCCGCGAGGACGAUCCUCGACGAUCCGAUCCGAGCCCUCAGCAGUGCCGCUUCUCGAUUCCUCUUCUCAAUUCGAUGCUCCGAUCCAUUGGUUGUUGUUGAGAAAUUUUCAAGGACUAAUCUUCCAGAGACGGAGAAGAGAAAGUUAUAUGGAGAAAGAUGAAAUACGUAGGUUGACUCAUUCGAGGCGUUAAAAGAAAUUUGCUCCAUAGCUGAACAAAAGCAGAACAGCUGGAGCUGCAGAAAUUGAAGUAGGAAGCAAGAGUUUCAACAUGCGGUGUUUGUUAUUUUUUGGCUAUAUUUUGAACAAAUAUUUUUUGUUAGAACUUAUGUUCGAAAUUUAAUUUGAAUACUGAGAUUGUAAUUUGAGAGUUGAGACCAUUUAUUAUA